Molecule: long non-coding RNA, 220 nt
Filed under: Carica papaya (papaya)
Lineage: Eukaryota; Viridiplantae; Streptophyta; Magnoliopsida; Brassicales; Caricaceae
Description: long non-coding RNA (CPAP_LNC007160)
Source: RNAcentral
AAUAUAAAAGUAUAACAUGUGUUAUGUUACAGAGUAUGUAUGAAUUUCAUGAUCUCUAUGAUGUUAUUGUCUCUAUAGGUUGUUUUCAUAAAUCUCACUAAGGUAAGUGGACAGUAAGGGUUUUAUUAUUGAUAAAUGAAUUUGUAAAAAAAAAUGUGCUCCAUUGGUCGUUUUUAUCUUUCUACCAACCUUUACUUCUGUGGCAAUGAUAUAGUGUGAC